Rhincodon typus (whale shark) is the source of this 5013-nucleotide long non-coding RNA. RefSeq lists it as uncharacterized. NCBI's taxonomy places the organism in Eukaryota, Metazoa, Chordata, Chondrichthyes, Orectolobiformes, Rhincodontidae. The record is from RefSeq and is a predicted model, not a curated record. The transcript has 3 exons.
UCAGAUUCUCCAGCAUCUGCAGUUCCUACUAUCUUUGAUGCUUUUAUUUAUUUGUUCUGUAUCAUCUAUCUUUGUUUUUGUAAAAAAAAAAUCCUUUCCUGUACUGAGGUGCUUGGAGGUAGAUAGUAGGAGUAAAGCUCAGUAAAAGAGCUUUCUCCAUGACAUGCUGAAAGAUUUAUGAUUCUAUUUGUUGGCUUGAAUCCAAAUGAGCAGUUAGCUUAGUGACAGAUGUGCUCAUUGUUAGACUUUUGAACUAAACAUGAUGCUUCAAUGCUUUUUCUCAGCCCUAUGUAGAAAAUUGCUUUGCUUCACCUCUGUUCAGAGGAACUACUUUCAAUUAGCAAAUUGCCUUGGAAUGCGAUCUAGCCGACUUGGAUAACUACAUUGAAAUGGUGCAGUUCGGUGUUAGUAAUGUGAACCGGUUACAGCAGCAAUUUCACACCAGUGUUAGUUUAUUUUUAUCACUGGUACUUCACAAUACAAAACAACUCAAGACAACUAGUAUGGUAUUGACAUCUUUCUCAGUGUAAUGUGAAUGUUUUGUCCUUCUUAAACCAGAGUCUGAUAUUGGCUGAGUUGAUAAAAUGUGGAGCUGAAGAAGCACAGCAAGUCAGACAGCAUCGGAGGAGCAGGAAAGUCAAUAUUAUAGGUCUGGACCCUUCAUCAGGACCGGCCCAGUCCUGAUGAAGGGUCCAGACCUGUAACAUCGAUUUUUCCUGCCCCUCUGAUGCUGUCUGACCUACGGGGCUUCUCCAGCUCCACGUUUUAUCCACUCUGACUUCCAGCAUCCGCAGUCCUUACUAUCUCUAAUAUUGGCUGAAAUUACUUCUGAACCUGGCUUUCUGGUUUCCUAUAGGUGCUGCAUUUGAACUUGGAAAAUAGAACACUUUAUUUAGUUUGGGAGGUGUUCAAAAGAUCUGAUCUUCAGUUUUCUAGGUAGAGAAAUGAUUUGUUGCAGCAAAAACAUUUGUAAGAAAAGAUUAGACUAUACUUUAAUUCUAUUUAUCCUCCUUUGUCUAAGGACUGAUGAAUAUGAUGAUAGCAUUAAGUCAUUGUAAAGGACAAUUUAAAGUGAUUGCAGUUGUCUCUUAACCAAUUUUGCUGGUUCCUAUGAAACAUGAUUGAAAUAAUUGUUUUCUUCUGGUCACUUCAAUUUGGUGUAGAAAGUUGUUGAGGAGCUUUCCAUUUUCAUACUCUAAAAGGUGGUUAAGCAUGAUAUGAUUGUGCUAUUGAGCUAGAAACAAAGCAGAACAUUUCAUUUCCAAAAACCCAUCUCUGUACUGUUCCAGAAAGAUAGUUGCAUAUUUCACCAGCAACUAGGACAUUGUGUUACGGAUGCAAUUUGUUGUAUGUACACCAAUGGUUAAAAUGGAAUUUAAGAGAAGAUUGGAUGUUUGCCUUGCAGGGUGAAACUUCUUUCUCCCAGUAGAAGCAGUAUGGCCUGGUGUGCUUUUGUUGGUGUCAGAACAUCAUGGUCCCAAAUAAAGCCUUGAGCACAUAAUCUGGACUUGUGUUUCAGUGAAGUACUGAGGGACUGCUGUACUUUCAAAGGUGCAGCCCUUCAGAUGAGACAUUAAGUUGUGGCUCUAUCUGUCUGUGUCAGGCAGAUAUCAAAGAUACCAUGGUAUCAUUCCACAACUAUCAUUAGAUGGGCACAGCAUUUAUCUUAUUACUGUUCAUUGAUCUUGCUGUAUGCAAAGUGGCUGUCUCAUUUGCCAAAAUAAAUGUGAAUGUAUUUCAAUGUAAUUCAGUAGAUAUGAAGUAUUUUAAGGUAUUCCAGGGAUAUGAAGACUGAAAUGUAAAUGCGGAUUAUUUCAUACUGGAGGAAACAAUAGUUAGUUUCAUUAUAUUUGAAGAUCUAUUUUUGUUUCAAAAAUAAUUUUAAUUAGUAGUGAAAUAGUCAAUCCCAGGCCUUGUGAGACGUGAUGUUAGAAUAUCCAUUUGUUGAGAAGAGGAUUUUUUUUUUAAAAUGUGUUUGACUUUUUUAAAAGCUAUCUAUUCAAUAACAGUGAGUAAGGAAUUUAGUCCUCAGAUUGAGUUCACCUGGCUCAUCAAAAAGAACAGGGGACUAAUUAGAGAUAGCUGUUUUCAAAGGGUUAGCAUUGGCAUGAUAGGUAAAGUGUCCUCCUUCUGUGCUGUAUAAUACUUUCUCCACUUUGCAUUUAUAUAUUCACUUUAAAAUAUGGGUUUGUAACUAUUAACAUAUUGGGGAUUACCUUGGUAUUUCUUUUGGAGUUGACCGGCAAAGUAACAACUUGGGAAGUUGGUGUGAGUGUGAAGAACUAGUUGAUUGGAGUGUGGAGUAGGGUGGAAACAAAAGCACCAUGGGAAGGCAGCAGCAAUGGUUUGGAUCUCAGCUGGUUAGAGAGUUGGACUUGCAGUUCAGAUUAUCUGGACCACAGUAACUACUGGUGAACAAACCUUGAACAGUAAGUGUGCAAGUCCUGAGCAGAGGGCAAACAAAUUCUAAUGGUCUUAAUUCUUCAGUAUUGGCAAAUGUAAUACAAUGUGCAUUUUACAUGUACAACGUUAGUAUUUAGUUCUUGGUCAGUGUAACUGCAACAUUCUUAAGCUGCUGAUGAGGCAAGAAUGUGACUUUAGCUUUUAUUGUGAUAUAGACAUGAAAUAAGGGUUAAGUAUAAUUCAUGAUCAUCCAUCAAACUGCACUUUUUUAACAUGCUAAAUAACCAACAUAGAUACAGUUUAUCUUAAUAUCUUGCAUCCUUUGCAUAUAAGCACUUUUUCUACAUAAGUAGCUAUUUGUGGCUGUGCUAAUGGUUGUAGAAUGAUCGUAAUUUAUUGAGUGGUUGGGUGCAUAGUUUCUCCGAGAGGAGCAGAACUUGUGGAGAAACAGUAAAAUGAAAGAAAGUUGUAAACAAUCUGAACCUGAACUGUGUUUCUGAUUUUGCUGAGGGCUGGCACUCUAGGUAUUAGUACAGUGAAUUUUACAAUGUUUUGAUGUUCAAGCAACAGUUUUACUUUAGUUUUCUGUUUUAAAUAAUUGUAGAAUAAUUUUAGAACUGUAAAAAUAGUAAGAUGUUUCAUUGUUUCAAUAGAUUCCAAACUGUAGAACUUUUUUUUAUAGUAUGAUUAUUUAAGAGGCGCUGUCUUUCAGUUCUGCAGCCUCAGUUUAAAAAGUACUUAAAUACUUGUUACCAAAUUUUUGAUGUAAACUUUUCACAUCUGAACAACUUUUUAAUAAAACAUUAAGCCGAUUUUAAGAGUGCCUCUGUCAUCUUUUAGAAAGUGAGUAGCAUUCCAGUGUGGCUCUGCAGAAUCCUCUACAGCCAGAACAAUUCUUGUGAGCAGUUGUGUAUUAAAUGCUGAGUUGACAGCAGCAUCUCUGGGUACUGGUACAUGAAUUUGUUAUCAGAUGCAUUCAUUUAUUGUGAAAUAUUUGAUUGGGGAUAUUUUGUAUAACUAAGUUGAUAAUCUCAAAACAGACUUCACAACUUUCAAUUUUGAACAUUAGAAUCUAUGAAGGAGCAUUUAUUUUUAAAAUAAAUUACUAUGGCACUGUUACUGAUAUUCUUUUGUAGGAAUAUCUUUAACAUAGCUUAAUCUAUUUCAUUAGAAGGAAGGGGAAGAAACCUGCUGAUAUUUAUAAAAUUAUUUAAAUACUAGAUGCUCUUCUACUGAAGAUGCUCAUGAUAGGUUAGUUGCCAUACUGUUUUAUAAUGAGACCAUUACGCCACUUAAUGCAUAAUUUUCUGGCCUAUUCCCCUCCCUCGCUACUUUAAGGCCGCAAGAUCAAUUUUCUGUAUAUAGGCACAUCUAGAAGUCAGUUGCUGUUGCUAAGGGAAGUUUGACAAUCAGCAGAUCCUUGCAAAUUUCUCGUUUCCAGUGGAAAAUGCCUGUUUGUUUCCCUUUAGUUUUGUAAUACAUCUGAUAUUUGGAAACGUGAUGGAAAUGUGCUGGAUGCAUUUUUUUUUUCUGUGUACAUGCGUGUUUGCAUGCAUAUGUACUUACUAAAGGCCUUUAGAAAAUGAGAGUUUUGGAAUAAAUGCUUCCAAAUAUAUCACUUAAGUUUUAAUUUCUAAUUUAGUUUCUGAAUUUUCAGUACUAAUUUUAUAUUUGCAUACAUUUUAUUUUAAGGAUGUCUCUCCCAAUUUUUAAAUUUAGUAGCAGCCUGCUUUCAAAGCUUGUUCUAUAUACGCUUUACUCAAUCUUUGGUCAUGAUUGUCUGUUUAAUGCUUUUUGUAUGCAUGCUCUAAAGUAAAGCCCCAUAUGUGUUUUAAGAGCUUUAUCAGUCUGUGCCUUCUGCGUAGUGUAAUUGUAAUAACAUUUAAGGUUGAUCCACUGGUUUUAAACUAAAUAGCUGGUUUGUAUUUUUGCACCCACAUGCAAGAAAAUCUUUUAAAACCAGGAUUCUCUUUGCUCCUGCCGAGCCCUUACUCUGUAUUCUAGUUCCACUGACAUGAUUUUUACAGUGCUGUUCUAACUAUUGCCCUUCCAGCCUAAGAUCAUUCCAAAUGCAAUAUGUGGAAUUUGUCUAAAGGGUAGAGAAUCCAACAAGAAAAACAAACCUGAGGCACUCAUACACUGCUCCCAGUGUGACAAUAGUGGUCAUCCGUCCUGCUUGGAUAUGUUGUCGGAGUUGGUGGCUGUAAUAAAAACCUAUCCAUGGCAGUGUAUGGAAUGCAAGACGUGCAUAGUGUGCGGCCAGCCACAUCACGAGGAAGAGAUGAUGUUCUGUGAUCAGUGCGACCGAGGGUAUCACACCUUCUGUGUCGGAGUUGCUUCCAUCCCCUCAGGUCGUUGGAUUUGUGCGUGCUGUGCGAAUGUUCCUUCCACAGCUAAGAAAAGGGGACGGAAAGCAAAAAAUACCAAAGAAGGGUAAAGCUACAACAUUAGAACCAAUCCAAGAAAAUGUGUGGCCAGAUUAAAGUUCUUAUCAAAGCUUUGGUUGACUGGGAAUAUCAGGUGCUUACAUGAUAUCAAUGUGUUUUAUAAAUAUCAUUUACAUUAUUUGUAUGAAAAAUUAUUUUGAAACAAAUAAAAUGACAGAAUGAA